CGGGGCGCGAUUCACAUCUCAACCGAAAUAUUUGUAAAGCGAUACGAACGAGUUACGAGAUGAAAUCCGCAAUGUUUAAAAACGCGAUUCAUAGCACACAUACUUUGAUCUCGUUUUCAUAUCGCUAGUUCGUAUUUGGAUGGCUUGAGUGAAAUGAAUGAAACUAUAUUUUUUUUAAUUGCCAUGCAAAAAUUAUAAAUACUACCACUAAUUGUUUUAAAUAAUUUUGUUCCUACAAUAUAUUUUGUUGGAAUUAGUGUCGAUAGCAAGUAUCAAGAAACAGCUUUUUAAUUCAACGUUGAAGAAAUUCAUAACCUGUGGCACUUUUGACAGCCGCCAUGUUUUCUCCAUAAAAACAUUGAUUUUCUUUGCUCAUUUUCGUGUCAACGUAGUUUUUUUGGAAAAUAAGAAGAAAGGAAGUUUAACUUACUUAGAGAAAUACGACUGAGACAUAAACACAAGCAGCAGCCGAUGUGCUUGAGUAGCAGAAGGAGCAACUGCGUUGUGAGAGGGCCACGGCUUCAGCCCUCACAAUGAUAGCUGAUUAGCUGAAGUAAUGAACAGACAGGCUGCAGUCAAUGAGAGGCUUCUUGAGGAGGGGUUCCUCAUAUGGAAAAAGAUUUUAGCGGCGACGCAGUUGCGCGACCAGUGAAGCUCAGGCUCCGCGACCAGCGUGGAGCGCGCGGUCAGCGCGGCGCUGCUGCGGCUGCUGCGCGGGAGGAUCCCGUCCCUGCGCAUGCGCCUGGCCUUCAAUGACCUCACGCCUCUCUUCUUCCUCUUCUUCAUGAGUCAAUUCAAACAGAGGAGCACCUGUGAUUACUGAUUACCUAAGUUCCUAUAUACAAUAAUAGUUUAAUAAUUGUUAACAAAAUAUUGUAUAUAUAAGUAUUAAUAAUUACUUAUACAAAAGGCUAAAAGCAUUUUGUACCAGCCAACCUAUAGGAGAGAAUAUGAGAAAAAUAAUAAGACUUUAAUCUUUGAUUGCCAUUAUCUGUAGCUUUAUUAAGUGGUAAAGGGACCUAAUUACUACCUAUAUUUUUUUAGUAUUUGUGAUAAUUCAUAGAAUUUAUUAGUUCUAUCAAUAAAUAAAAUAUACAUGCAUUACAAUGUGUUUAAUUCAUUAACUUACAAUUUGCACACUGAGGGAA
Molecule: long non-coding RNA, 1148 nt
Organism: Plutella xylostella (diamondback moth)
Lineage: Eukaryota; Metazoa; Arthropoda; Insecta; Lepidoptera; Plutellidae
Source: RefSeq, a predicted model, not a curated record